Ribosomal RNA from Lepisosteus oculatus (spotted gar), 119 nucleotides. NCBI's taxonomy places the organism in Eukaryota, Metazoa, Chordata, Actinopteri, Semionotiformes, Lepisosteidae. The record is from Rfam.
UGCAGCAGCCAUAUCACCCUGCAACUCACAACUGGCAACCCACUGAAGCUCAGCAGGUGUGAGCCUGGUCAGUACUUGGAUGGGACACAUCCUGGGAAAAACUAAGGUUGCUGCUGGAG